Molecule: non-coding RNA, 73 nt
Organism: Paramuricea clavata
Lineage: Eukaryota; Metazoa; Cnidaria; Anthozoa; Malacalcyonacea; Plexauridae
Source: the annotation of a GenBank genome assembly
GACCGCGUAGCUCAGUUGGCAGAGCAUUGGGCUAGUAUUCCAAAGGUCGUAGGUUCAAUUCCCGCCGUGGUCG